This 484-nucleotide ribosomal RNA is filed under the name uncultured bacterium. RNAcentral describes it as "partial 16S ribosomal RNA". It matches the Rfam family "Bacterial small subunit ribosomal RNA", at positions 30 to 507 of the family's 1533-position model. The record is from RNAcentral.
AUUGAACGCUGGCGGCAGGCCUAACACAUGCCAGUCGAGCGGAUGAAGGGAGCUUGCUCCUGGAUUCAGCGGCGGACGGGUGAGUAAUGCCUAGGAAUCUGCCUGGUAGUGGGGGAUAACGUCCGGAAACGGGCGCUAAUACCGCAUACGUCCUGAGGGAGAAAGUGGGGGAUCUUCGGACCUCACGCUAUCAGAUGAGCCUAGGUCGGAUUAGCUAGUUGGUGGGGUAAAGGCCUACCAAGGCGACGAUCCGUAACUGGUCUGAGAGGAUGAUCAGUCACACUGGAACUGAGACACGGUCCAGACUCCUACGGGAGGCAGCAGUGGGGAAUAUUGGACAAUGGGCGAAAGCCUGAUCCAGCCAUGCCGCGUGUGUGAAGAAGGUCUUCGGAUUGUAAAGCACUUUAAGUUGGGAGGAAGGGCAGUAAGUUAAUACCUUGCUGUUUUGACGUUACCAACAGGAUAAGCACCGGCUAACUUCGUG